This 478-nucleotide ribosomal RNA is filed under the name uncultured Acaulospora. Its description in RNAcentral is "SSU rRNA". It matches the Rfam family "Eukaryotic small subunit ribosomal RNA", at positions 569 to 1050 of the family's 1831-position model. Lineage: Eukaryota; Fungi; Glomeromycota; Glomeromycetes; Diversisporales; Acaulosporaceae. The record is from RNAcentral.
AGCAGCCGCGGUAAUUCCAGCUCCAAUAGCGUAUAUUAAAGUUGUUGCAGUUAAAAAGCUCGUAGUUGAAUUUCGGAAUUUGUCGGUUGGUCGGGCUUCACUGUCCGCACUGGCCUGAUGAAUUCCUACCUUCUGAAUAACCAGCAUGCUAUUAAUUUAGUGCGUUGGGGAAGCAGAGCUAUUACCUUGAAAAAUUAGAGUGCUUAAAGCAGGCUCACGCUUGAAUAGAUUAGCAUGGAAUAAUAAAAUAGGACGGCUUGGUUCUAUUUUGUUGGUUUCUAGGAUCACCGUAAUGAUUAAUAGGGAUAGUUGGGGGCAUUAGUAUUCAAUUGUCAGAGGUGAAAUUCUUGGAUUUAUUGAAGACUAACUUCUGCGAAAGCAUUUGCCAAGGAUGUUUUCAUUAAUCAAGAACGAAAGUUAGGGGAUCGAAGACGAUCAGAUACCGUCGUAGUCUUAACCAUAAACUAUGCCGACUAGG